GCCAGACUCCUACGGGAGGCAGCAGUCGAGAAUCAUUCACAAUGGGGGAAACCCUGAUGCAGCGACGCCGCGUGAGUGAAGAAGUAUUUCGGUAUGUAAAGCUCUAUCAGCAGGGAAGAAAAUGACGGUACCUGACUAAGAAGCCCCGGCUAACUACGUGCCAGCAGCCGCGGUAAUACGUAGGGGGCAAGCGUUAUCCGGAUUUACUGGGUGUAAAGGGAGCGUAGGUGGCAUGGUAAGCCAGAAGUGAAAACCCAGGGCUCAACUCUGUGGAUUGCUUUUGGAACUAUCAAGCUAGAGUGCUGGAGGGGUAAGCGGAAUUCCUAGUGUAGCGGUGAAAUGCGUAGAUAUUCGGAGGAACACCGGUGGCGAAGGCGGCCAACUGGGCUUUAACUGACGCUGAGGCUCGAAAGUGUGGGGAGCAAACAGGAUUAGAUACCCUUGUAUC
RNAcentral lists this ribosomal RNA (448 nucleotides) under uncultured bacterium. RNAcentral's name for it is "bacterial SSU rRNA". It matches the Rfam family "Bacterial small subunit ribosomal RNA", at positions 330 to 794 of the family's 1533-position model. The record is from RNAcentral.